GGUGGUCGUAGCUCAGCUGGUAGAGCCCCGGAUUGUGGUUCCGGUUGUCGUGGGUUCGAGCCCCAUCGUCCACCCAUA
Molecule: transfer RNA, 78 nt
Filed under: Porphyromonas endodontalis ATCC 35406
Lineage: Bacteria; Pseudomonadati; Bacteroidota; Bacteroidia; Bacteroidales; Porphyromonadaceae
Description: tRNA-His
Rfam family: tRNA
About the family: Transfer RNA (tRNA) molecules are approximately 80 nucleotides in length. Their secondary structure includes four short double-helical elements and three loops (D, anti-codon, and T loops).
Source: RNAcentral